GAUGAACGCUGACAGAAUGCUUAACACAUGCAAGUCUACUUGAAUUUGGGUUUUUAACUUAGGUUUGGGUGGCGGACGGGUGAGUAACGCGUAAAGAACUUGCCUCACAGCUAGGGACAACAUUUAGAAAUGAAUGCUAAUACCUAAUAUUAUGAUAAUAGGGCAUCCUAUAAUUAUGAAAGCUAUAAGCGCUGUGAGAGAGCUUUGCGUCCCAUUAGCUAGUUGGAGAGGUAACGGCUCACCAAGGCGAUGAUGGGUAGCCGGCCUGAGAGGGUGAUCGGCCACAAGGGGACUGAGACACGGCCCUUACUCCUACGGGAGGCAGCAGUGGGGAAUAUUGGACAAUGGACCGAGAGUCUGAUCCAGCAAUUCUGUGUGCACGAUGAAGUUUUUCGGAAUGUAAAGUGCUUUCAGUUGGGAAGAAAGAAAUGACGGUACCAACAGAAGAAGUGACGGCUAAAUACGUGCCAGCAGCCGCGGUAAUACGUAUGUCACGAGCGUUAUCCGGAUUUAUUGGGCGUAAAGCGCGUCUAGGUGGUUAUAUAAGUCUGAUGUGAAAAUGCAGGGCUCAACUCUGUAUUGCGUUGGAAACUGUAUAACUAGAGUACUGGAGAGGUAAGCGGAACUACAAGUGUAGAGGUGAAAUUCGUAGAUAUUUGUAGGAAUGCCGAUGGGGAAGCCAGCUUACUGGACAGAUACUGACGCUGAAGCGCGAAAGCGUGGGUAGCAAACAGG
RNAcentral lists this ribosomal RNA (735 nucleotides) under uncultured Fusobacterium sp. Its description in RNAcentral is "bacterial SSU rRNA". It matches the Rfam family "Bacterial small subunit ribosomal RNA", at positions 28 to 776 of the family's 1533-position model. The record is from RNAcentral. Lineage: Bacteria; Fusobacteriati; Fusobacteriota; Fusobacteriia; Fusobacteriales; Fusobacteriaceae.